Molecule: ribosomal RNA, 400 nt
Filed under: uncultured bacterium
Lineage: Bacteria
Description: bacterial SSU rRNA
Rfam family: Bacterial small subunit ribosomal RNA
Source: RNAcentral
UGAGGAAUAUUGGUCAAUGGGGGAAACCCUGAACCAGCGACGCCGCGUGUAGGAUGAAGGGGCUUUGCCCUGUAAACUACUGUUGGGAGGGAUGAAAAGUUUGCUCGGCAAACUGGGACUGUACCUCCAAAGAAAGGAUCGGCUAACUACGUGCCAGCAGCCGCGGUAAUACGUAGGAUCCGAGCGUUGUCCGGAAUUACUGGGUAUAAAGGGUGCGUAGGCGGGCUUGUGCGUCAGGGGUUAAAUCCCACGGCUUAACCGUGGAGCUGCCCUUGAUACGGCAAGUCUUGAGUGUGAGAGAGGAAGGUAGAAUUCUUGGUGUAGCGGUGAAAUGCGUAGAUAUCAAGAGGAAUACCAGUGGCGAAGGCGGCCUUCUGGCUCAUCACUGACGCUGAGGCAC